CACGUAGGAUGCGAGCGUUGUCCGGAAUCAUUGGGCGUAAAGAGCGCGCAGGCGGCUUGGCAAGUCGGUCGUGAAAUCCCGGGGCUCAACCCCGGGACUGCAUUCGAUACUGUCAGGCUAGAGGUAGGUAGGGGAGAUCGGAAUUCCUGGUGUAGCGGUGAAAUGCGCAGAUAUCGGGAGGAACACCAAUUGCGAAGGCAGCUCGCUGGGACGUGACUGACGCUGAGGUGCGAAAGCUAGGGUAGCAAACGGG
Molecule: ribosomal RNA, 253 nt
Filed under: uncultured bacterium
Lineage: Bacteria
Description: partial 16S ribosomal RNA
Rfam family: Bacterial small subunit ribosomal RNA
Source: RNAcentral